This 3191-nucleotide long non-coding RNA is filed under the name Homo sapiens (human). RNAcentral describes it as "HSALNT0137841". The record is from RNAcentral. Lineage: Eukaryota; Metazoa; Chordata; Mammalia; Primates; Hominidae.
GCUUGGGUCUGUCAUUUUUCACUUUGUUCCAAUGUAAACACCAUUUGUAGAGGUGGCAAAAUGCAGCCCCUUAACAGAAUUAUGUGUUAAAGAAUAGAAUAGUAAACAUGGGAGUAAAUUCAUUUAAAAACAAAAACAUUCACAUUUGAGAAAAUUUUUAUAAGGUUCAUCUUUAAUAAUCUUUUCUCUAUUCAUGAUUGCUUUUUGCAGUUAGUGUUUAAAGUUAGUAUACAUAUGUCUCUCAUUCAAUUGUGAAAUAUGAAGGUAAUUUUGUUAAGUUUUUGUAUCUCCAGUCUCAAAUGUGCAGCUUGACAGAUAAAAAGUGCUCAACAAUUGUCUAGUCAAAGAGUAAGUGUAAGGCGGAACUGGCAGGCAUUUUAAUGUUUUGGAUUCUGAAGGCUGAAUUUUGGACACAACUACAAGCCCCUCGAUGCUCCCUGUACGAUGGUUGAAAAAGUUGACACAGUGCCUGGCAGGGAUAAGCUACUCAAUUACUUCUAACUAUUCACACGAUAAUUUCUCGGUUGCAUACCAUGUGCAGGCAUUUGGCCCAGGCACCUUCUGUGCUUUAUUUCAUUGAGUCAUAUCAACAGCUAUGAGUCUGUAAAGUGGGUCUUUUCCUUGUUUCCUUGGACGUUAAACUGAGACCUAAAGAAACACAAUCUAAUGGACACACAGUUGUUAAGGGGCAAAACCAGAAUUCAGUGUGUGAACAUAGGAGUUGAGGAGAACUCCUGCUUGGUUCUUUUGCAUUCUCCAGUUUCUAAAAGCCUCCAAAGCCUUUUGUCCCUGAAGGCCAGAGAAAGGAAAGAGAAGGAUGGGGCGGGAUGGGUGAGGGGUUCUCAAUGGCCUCUGAUUAAUUUUAGUCCCUGUGCUUACCAGUUGCACUUCUCAUUGUCUUUCCCUAGCUGGUUGUCAGUGACUUUCAAAAUAUAACUUAACGGGAACAUUUGAGAAAUUACUUGGAGAGAGAUAAUCUAUAGAAUGUGAUGUAAUUAUUGCUCACUGCAGGGCUGCCCCGAGGAGUGACAAGGGUGUGUAUUGAGGCAGCUUGUGAAGAGGACUUGAACGCUGUACCAGCUGCAUAUCCCUGGCUUCCUCCCAAGAGCUCCUGAUGGGAUAUUCUCCAUGAUUUCUAAGACCACCUGGAGUUAUUAGUCCCUUGAGGACCCCCAUAAGAUGCUUUAUUAUCCUUUCGUUUGCUCCCCAGGUGCUUUAACUCAGAUCCUCAUUCAUUGUGAGAUUGGAAAAACAUGCACGUGCAGGUCUUGUCUUAGGUAGCAAUAAAAUGCUAUUACUAGGUCCCCAAAUGUAAAUGACACAGGCAACUAUUUCAUAACAUCAAUAAAUCUAAUGUCUGUGUAAUCCGAAACCAGAGAUCCGAACUUUACCUUUGGGCUAACUCAAAAUCUGUAUCAUUGCAGUCAUUAGAAACCAGUUUUUAUUCCUUGUCUUAUUGAAGAGACUGCUGUUGAUAGUUUCUAAUUUUUAAAUAAUGAGUUUUUCUUUUUAGAUAUAAGCCAUGAGACAACUUUAAAAGUUUGUUUCUGAGGAGGUAAGAGUUGAAUUUAAAACAACAAAUGAAGCCUUUGCAUCACUAGCAUUCUUUUCCAUGUGUAUUAUCCAACACUGCAAUGUUAGAAAUAUUUUUGAAAGUGUUUUUGUAAAAAAAUGUAUUUCUAAAAAAAGAGCAUCAGUGAGAAAGAAAUGAAUUUAUGUAAAAAGCUUUUCAAAUAAAAGUGUAAAAAUUUUCACUUAGGGCACACAAAUAAAAUAAUUGUCUGAGAAUAUGGUCAUUUUCAGUAAUAUGACACUAACAAUUUCUAACUGUAUCUCUAUGUAGGGUUUAAAUUUUUUUAUGAACACGAAUUCAUUAUAGAACAAAUUACUGCAUUUAAGAGAAACAUCAAAAGCUGACUAUUUAUUUACUUUUACCAGUUAUUCUUCCUCCGUGGAAAUUAUGCUUCUGAAUAUAGUGAAUAAAACCAGAGGUGAUUACAUUGAUUUUGACUUAGUGCUAUUUUCAACAUAAUAAUAUUUCUUAUGGGAUAGAGAGCAUAAAAGGGAAGGCAAAGGGAAGAAAAUCACCUUUGCAUUUCCACUGUGUCAGCAGGUCAUGCAUUUGAUGUGUUACGUCAUAAUGCAAAAAUUAGCUGGGCAUGGUGGCGGGUGCCUGUAAUCCCAGCUAUUCAUGAGACUGAGGCAGAGAAUUGCUUGAACUCUGGAGGUGGAGGUUGCAGUGAGCUGAGAUCAUGCCACUGCACUCCAGCCUGGGUGACAGAGUGAGACUAUGUCUCAAAAAAAGAAAGAAAGAAAGAAAGAAAAAUUUGAAGUAUAGAGGGGAAUCACAAAAAUUCUAAAUGGUAACUCAUGUCAGGAACCUGAAAGUCAAGUCUUCACUUCAGCAUUGGGAAGUAUAUGAAACUGUUUUCGGACCACACAACUCUGUGAGCUCAUCGCUAAGAAUUGGUAUGCAAGGUCUUCAGAAGGGUAGGCAAUUUGUAAACUCCUUUUGACUUAGCUGGUAAGACAGAAAGUUCUUUUUUCAUGGCUAAAUGAUACUUGAGAAAAGAAAAAAUGUGGUGAAGCUGAAUGUAUCUAGUUGAAAUAAAAAUGCCUACCUUUCUCCUGCAUAGGCAAAAUAUACUACUUACAAGAAAAAAAGGAAUUUAUGAAUAGAAAUAGAAUCAGGUCACAGUGCAUUUCCUAAUUCUCCACUGGAUUUUAUUACUCAAGCACUGUAUUUUUACCUUUUAUCAUAGCUGUCAUUCGUCCUUGUACUUUAGAUAGCAGCUUAUCAACCCUUGUUAUAUCCUUACCUUCUUUAGGGUGAUGAUCUUAUCUUUAUUUUUGACCACACUUCCUGUGCCUGCCCCUUUUCUUACAUCAAUUUCUGUUCCACUUGGGAUUUUGUACUCACAGAUGUGACAUGAAUAUUUAUGAGAUUAAAGUGAAUGGUCCAACAUCAAUUCAGAAAAAUUUUGAUCCAUUCGUCCAAAUUAUUUAAAAUAUUCCCUUUCUAAUUGAGGCAGCAAGGCCUCUAGCUUAGUGCUCAUUUUCCCUCUCUAAGCAUAUUCAUGCCAUUAGGGUAUUAAUUUCUUCUAAACUAAAGCUCUUAUCUCCUCAUAAUUCAUUAUGUCUGUUUUUGAUUCGCACUAUCAUUGUGGUCUCUCAACUUACUCCCGUUAACA